RNAcentral lists this ribosomal RNA (273 nucleotides) under uncultured bacterium. RNAcentral's name for it is "partial 16S ribosomal RNA". It matches the Rfam family "Bacterial small subunit ribosomal RNA", at positions 524 to 796 of the family's 1533-position model. The record is from RNAcentral.
UACGGAGGGUGCAAGCGUUACUCGGAAUCACUGGGCGUAAAGCGCGCGCAGGCGGCUAUUUAAGUUGGAUGUGAAAGCCUAUGGCUCAACCAUAGAACUGCAUCCAAAACUAUUUAGCUAGAGUGUGGGAGAGGAAGAUGGAAUUAGUUGUGUAGGGGUAAAAUCCGUAGAGAUAACUAGGAAUACCAAAAGCGAAGGCAAUCUUCUGGAACACUACUGACGCUGAGGCGCGAAAGCGUGGGGAGCAAACGGGAUUAGAAACCCUUGUAGUCC